RNAcentral lists this long non-coding RNA (416 nucleotides) under Solanum tuberosum (potato). RNAcentral describes it as "long non-coding RNA (STUB_LNC004792)". Lineage: Eukaryota; Viridiplantae; Streptophyta; Magnoliopsida; Solanales; Solanaceae. The record is from RNAcentral.
CCCCUGCCCAUCGGUGGCGCAUCGCCCCAGGACCUACCCAGAAAACCCGACAAACUUUCCUCUUUGGUUUUUGGCCCUAAUUCGCCUAGGAUCGAUUGAUUUCUCCUAAACUCUCUUAGAUUUGUAUACCCAACAUUAGUAAAUGAAAAUCUACUCAAAAAACUCUCAAACUCAUAACAUUCACCUCAAGAACUCAUCAAAUCCCAUUAUUAAAGAUUUAAGAACAAAAAUUCAAGAAACUCAUCAAGAACCUCAAUACAUGGAUUGUCAUGGAUGAAAUUAACUCAAGAAACUCAUGAUUGCCAUGACGGUGAACAGACCCAUCACUAUGAAAGCUUACAUACCUCGUAAGGAUCAAAUCCUUGGCGACAUUUCUCGAAGAUCAAAAGAAUCUUGAACGAAUGCUUGAACUUCUC